This 492-nucleotide ribosomal RNA is filed under the name uncultured bacterium. Its description in RNAcentral is "partial 16S ribosomal RNA". It matches the Rfam family "Bacterial small subunit ribosomal RNA", at positions 29 to 507 of the family's 1533-position model. The record is from RNAcentral.
AGUGAACGCUGGCGGUAGGCCUAACACAUGCAAGUCGAACGGCAGCACAGUAAGAGCUUGCUCUUACGGGUGGCGAGUGGCGGACGGGUGAGGAAUACAUCGGAAUCUACUUUUUCGUGGGGGAUAACGUAGGGAAACUUACGCUAAUACCGCAUACGACCUACGGGUGAAAGCAGGGGAUCUUCGGACCUUGCGCGAUUGAAUGAGCCGAUGUCGGAUUAGCUAGUUGGCGGGGUAAAGGCCCACCAAGGCGACGAUCCGUAGCUGGUCUGAGAGGAUGGUCAGCCACACUGGAACGGAGGCACGGUCCAGACUCCUACGGGAGGCAGCAGUGGGGAAUAGUGGACAAUGGGCGCAAGCCUGAUCCAGCCAUACCGCGUGGGUGAAGAAGGCCUUCGGGUUGUAAAGCCCUUUUGUUGGGAAAGAAAAGCAGCAGGUUAAUACCCCGCUGUUCUGACGGUACCCAAAGAAUAAGCACCGGCUAACUUCGUG